Molecule: non-coding RNA, 54 nt
Organism: Salmo salar (Atlantic salmon)
Lineage: Eukaryota; Metazoa; Chordata; Actinopteri; Salmoniformes; Salmonidae
Source: Rfam
UGUAAUUACUACUGUAAGUCGCUCUGGAUAAGAGCGUCUGCUAAAUGACUAAAA